GACGAACGCUGGCGGCGUGCUUAACACAUGCAAGUCGAACGAAGAGCGAUGGAAUCUUGCUUCUAUCACUCUUAGUGGCGAACGGGUGAGUAACGCGUAAUCAACCUGCCCUUCAGAGGGGGACAACAGUUGGAAACGACUGCUAAUACCGCAUACGAUCUAAUCUCGGCAUCGAGGAUAGAUGAACGGUGGCCUCGACAUGUAAGCUAUCACUGAAGGUGGGUGGUGCGGCUGUUUAGCUAGUGGGAGGGGUAACGGCCCACCAAGGCGAGGAUCAGUAGCCGGUCUGAGAUGAUGAGCGGCCAGAUUGGGACGGAGACACGGCCCAGACUGAUACAGGAGGGGGCAGUAGGGAAUCUUCCGCAAGCGGUGGAAGUCUGUCGGAGCUACGCGGCGUGCGGAAUGACGGCCUUCGGGUUGUAGAGGUCUGUUUACCGGGACGAAAGGGCUUCUUGCGAAUAGUGAGAAGGAUUGACGGUACCGGAAUAGAAAGCAACGGCUAACUACGUG
RNAcentral lists this ribosomal RNA (510 nucleotides) under uncultured bacterium. RNAcentral describes it as "partial 16S ribosomal RNA". It matches the Rfam family "Bacterial small subunit ribosomal RNA", at positions 28 to 507 of the family's 1533-position model. The record is from RNAcentral.